This 1254-nucleotide ribosomal RNA is filed under the name Triticum aestivum (bread wheat). RNAcentral describes it as "partial small subunit ribosomal RNA". Lineage: Eukaryota; Viridiplantae; Streptophyta; Magnoliopsida; Poales; Poaceae. The record is from RNAcentral.
AUGGUAGAAUCUGUAGCAGCUCCCAGUUCUCCUAUAGUUGAUCCUCCUAUUGCAUUGCGUAAGUCUGCAAGACGUACUGAUAUUCCAGCGCGCCUUAAGGAUUGUGUUGUCUAUAAGCAUGAUAUUGCCAAAUUUAUUUCUUAUGAAAAAUGUAGCCCAACAUUCCAAGGAUUUAUUGCUUCUUUAGACUCCACCUCUAUUCCAAGAGAUUGGAAGGAUGCUAUAAAGGAUUCUAGGUGGAAGACAGCCAUGCUAGAGGAGAUGGCAGCCUUGGAGAAGAACAAUACAUGGGAACUCGUGAACUUACCAUCUGGUAAAGAACCCGUGGGGUGCAAGUGGGUAUACACCAUUAAGCAUAAUCCUGAGGGUAAGGUUGAGAGGUACAAGGCUCGUUUAGUAGCAAAAGGGUAUACUCAGACAUAUGGGAUAGACUACGAAGAGACUUUCGCUCCAGUUGCCAAAAUGAAUACAAUACGAACUUUGAUAUCAUGUGCAUCUAAUCUUGACUGGGACUUACAUCAACUAGAUGUAAAAAAUGCUUUUCUUCAUGGAGACCUCCAAGAGGAGAUUUACAUGCAUAUACCUCCAGGUUUUGGCACUGCACAAACUGAGGGCAAAGUACUUAGGCUGCAUCGAUCAUUAUAUGGCUUAAAACAAUCACCUCGGGCAUGGUUUGAUCGUUUUCGACGGGCGGUACUACUAAUGGGUUAUAAACAGAGUAAUGCCGAUCAUACUCUGUUUUACAAACGUAAUGCAAGCAAACUGGCUAUAUUGAUAGUCUAUGUUGAUGAUAUUGUUAUUUCAGGAGAUGAUGAGGAGGAAAUAAAGAGAUUGAAGUUGCAACUGGCACAAGAGUUUGAAGUUAAAGACUUGGGUCAAUUAAAAUAUUUUCUUGGAAUGGAAGUCUCUAGGAGUUCAAAAGGUAUCUAUCUUUCUCAGAGAAAAUAUAUCUUGGAUCUCCUAUCAGAAACUGGAAUGAAGGGGUGUCGUCCAGCUUCUACACCAAUUGAACAUGGUUGUCGCCUUGUUAAAGAGGGAGGCUCACCCGUAGACCGGGAACAAUACCAAAGACUUGUUGGGCGCUUGAUCUAUCUAUCACAUACUCGCCCUGAUAUUGCUUUCGCUGUAAGUGUUGUUAGCCAAUUUAUGCAUGAUCCUCGAACCCAUCAUAUGGAUGCAGUAAAUCGGAUUAUUCGCUAUCUUAAAGGGUGUCCUGGUAAAGGUUUGUUAUAUUCUUCCCAUGGCAAUUUAUAG